AUGCAACGACCAGUCUCUGACAUGUUACUGCUGCUACUGCUGCUGUGCUGUAGAGCGUAAGCUUAUAGGCAUUGAGCCAAUUGUCUUUGGGUAAUCCACAAAAGCGGACUGUGGUUCCAAUACUUCCACUUUGUACCAGAAGGGUGAGCGUGCAAUACAAGCUGUCUGCUGCUGCUGCUGCUGCUGUUUGCGAUGUCACGCGGUCGCCUCGGAGACCGUGGAUCGCCUGAGUCGCACCACACUGGCAUCAGAUCCUCAUAUUCAUAUGAAAAGGCCUGAGUAGGUGUCGUUCAAGGCAGCGGCACCUCGAUUGCCUGCAGCGAAGCGUCACCGAAGGGUGUCCUUUCCAAAUGCUCCAGACUGGAAUACAUCGCCAUAUGUUCGAUUCUCGAGUACCAAACUCCUGCGGUUGUUGUUUUGCGUGACGCUGUCCUGCUGGGGCAGGCGCUGCACCCGCCUGCCUUUUCGUGUCGAGUUUUUCGGCCAUGGGAAUAUCGCCCGGGCGAUCUAGAGACAACGCGCGCUUCGGCUCGCCGCAGUUGCUGACGAACGGCUUCUGCACUUGACCAUGAUCACCGAAAAACAGCGCCUAGAAGGCACUCGGCCACAGUUUCGGGGGUUGCGGUGAACGAGCCUCCUACAUCCGAGUCAGAUGAAAACUGAAAACUGAACUGCUCGCUCUGUUCAUGCGGUUCGAUUGCGCUCGAAAUUUUUUUUGAUGUGCAGCCUGAAUGCGUAAGGUUCAACAACAAGGGCUUAUGGAUGCAUAUGCAGUUUUGGGAUUCUCGUUCGAGUUUCUGGAGUGACUCUUACGACGCAAUCGAAUACAUGCAUGAAAAAUAGCCGAAAUCAUGUCCCAACUCAUACAUACAAGUCUCUACGCUUCUCGAUUCUAUACCUGUUUUAUGCAGCUAUCGUGCACUGUCCAAGUGUUCGAUUGUCGUGUUUCACGGCAACUCGUGGGCGCAGGAAUUCGCGCCGCUGAUUUGACGAGGAAUAGGGCUCGACGUCGUCUCCCGACAACUUGUUCACAAGCCCAUGUUGAAGCUUCACUGCAUUUUUUAUGUUAGACAAUCUAUUCCGUUCGAAAGGCAAAUCCUCCUCACAACGUCAUUGGAAGGCAAGCGGCAUUCUGCGCCAGUUCAACGCCUCCCAAAGCAUAAACUCCAUGCACUCCC
RNA transcript from Cyanidioschyzon merolae strain 10D, 1178 nucleotides. RefSeq lists it as hypothetical. The record is from RefSeq and is a predicted model, not a curated record. The transcript has a single exon. Lineage: Eukaryota; Rhodophyta; Bangiophyceae; Cyanidiales; Cyanidiaceae.